CGCUGAAUAUUCUCCUCUACUGUGGACACGCUCAAGAUGCUUUGCUGCAUAUUGAGCCAAACUGGUCCCCUUUAUUUACUGGAGAGAAAGUUACCUUCAUAUGUGACUCAAGGGAAGAAAACGACACUGACUGGAAUUACUCAUUCAGUCGGAAUGAUCAUUUCUUUACCACCAACAGAACAGUAAAUAGGUAUAAAUCAUCAUCUCUAACUAGAGGAGAUAGUGGUGAAUAUCAGUGUGUUGCUGAUCACAAGAUCCGUCCUGUUAGAAGAGAAAGUAAUAAAGUCUCUCUAAGUGUAUCAGAUGUCCCUCGUCCUGUCCUCACAGUGUCUCCAUCAUGGACGAGUCCUGGAGACUCAGUGACUCUGACCUGCAGUGUUGGACCUCCGUCUGCAGGAUGGAGGUUCUUCUGGUAUAAGGCUGUUCCACAACUGUCAGACUACUACCCCUACUACACCUAUGAGCUUCUAGCUGGUGGCACCACUGGGACUGAACAGGAUUCCUACAUUCUUCAUGGACAGACACA
Gasterosteus aculeatus aculeatus (three-spined stickleback) is the source of this 526-nucleotide non-coding RNA. The record is from RefSeq and is a predicted model, not a curated record. Lineage: Eukaryota; Metazoa; Chordata; Actinopteri; Perciformes; Gasterosteidae.